RNAcentral lists this small RNA (138 nucleotides) under Couchioplanes caeruleus subsp. caeruleus. Its description in RNAcentral is "c-di-AMP riboswitch aptamer (ydaO/yuaA leader)". It matches the Rfam family "c-di-AMP riboswitch aptamer (ydaO/yuaA leader)". Rfam says of the family: This family represents a conserved RNA structure found upstream of the ydaO and yuaA genes in Bacillus subtilis and related genes in other bacteria. RNAcentral also lists the same sequence under 1 other name. Lineage: Bacteria; Bacillati; Actinomycetota; Actinomycetes; Micromonosporales; Micromonosporaceae. The record is from Rfam by way of RNAcentral.
GGCGGACCACCGCUCAAUCGCCGCACGGCGAAUCGGGGAACCACCUUGAAAAGGGGUGAAUCCGCAGAGCCUUGCGGUAGGGAUCGCUUCCGUCCCGAACCCGUCAGCUAACCCGGUAGGCGGCAACACGGAAGGAAA